AGUGAACGCUGGCGGUAGGCCUAACACAUGCAAGUCGAACGGCAGCACAGGAGAGCUUGCUCUCUGGGUGGCGAGUGGCGGACGGGUGAGGAAUACAUCGGAAUCUACUCUGUCGUGGGGGAUAACGUAGGGAAACUUACGCUAAUACCGCAUACGACCUACGGGUGAAAGCAGGGGACCUUCGGGCCUUGCGCGAUUGAAUGAGCCGAUGUCGGAUUAGCUAGUUGGCGGGGUAAAGGCCCACCAAGGCGACGAUCCGUAGCUGGUCUGAGAGGAUGGUCAGCCGCACUGGAGCUGAGCCACGGUCCAGACUCCUACGGGAGGCAGCAGUGGGGGAUAUUGGAGAAUGGGCGCAAGCCUGAUCCAGCCAUACCGCGUGGGUGAAGAAGGCCUUCGGGUUGUAAAGCCCUUUUGUUGGGAAAGAAAUCCAGCUGGCUAACACCCGGUUGGGGUGACGGUACCCAAAGAAUAAGCACCGGCUAACUUCGGGGCAGCCGCCGCCGUAA
This 506-nucleotide ribosomal RNA is filed under the name uncultured bacterium. Its description in RNAcentral is "partial 16S ribosomal RNA". It matches the Rfam family "Bacterial small subunit ribosomal RNA", at positions 29 to 523 of the family's 1533-position model. The record is from RNAcentral.